UAUCUCUGUUUCCACUGUUUGCCUUAUUUUUCUUUUGCAAACUGUCUCUAGCCGACGUUUCCAAUCCUCCUGCGCCACCUGGAGGAAUGUUUGAAGAUACACGACCUAAGACCUGCUCUCUCCUCACAAAGCUGAUGGGGUUUGAACAGGUCUGCUGCAGCUGUCUGGAGAGUAAACGCGGCCUCGCUACAGAGUCCUCCCUGAAAGCAAGUUUGCACCCAGCAGACAAAGUGUGUUGUCACCCGAGUGUGCUGUGUUGUCGGGUACGAGCUGAAGAGGACUAUGGCUGCUCUUGAGAAGUAGCACACUGUUAAGAAUAUCUUCAACAACACAACAAAUCGUGUGUGCAGGUGACACACAUCACAGAAAUCAAGUUAGCCAGGUUGCUGUAAACUGGGAAAGGCUCAAACCCCAAACUAAAUGUAAACACAGAAAUAUUUCAAUUUUGUGUUUAAUAAGAGACGUGCUUUAUGUCACUUGCUAAUUACAAGUAAUGCAGUGCUGUGAAAAAGUGCUUGCCCACUUGCAGAUUUAUUCUGUUAAACUUUUUUGUCACACUUAAAUGUUAAAGAUCAUCAAAGAAAAUUGCAAUAUCAGACAAAGAUAACAUGAGUAAAUACAAAUACUGAAUUUUCAAACCGAUUUAGCACUAAGUAAGCAAACUUACAGUAUGAUCUGUCUGAUGAUAAGCUAAAAUAUCUAAAAGAGCAACACCUGCUGCCCCAAUUUAAUGAAAUUCAAGAACAUAUGACAAUCAAACAUAUUCACAUUUCAGUCUGGAAAGGGUUACAAAUACACUUCUAAGUCUUUGUAACUCAAGUUAACUCUUGUGUCAUUAUCCACAAAGGAAGAAAAUAUGUUAAAAUUGUAGGCCUUUCUAAUGGAAAGACUUGCUUUCCAUCUGGAAAAUAACUGCAAGAGGGACAAUCAACAAUUUAUCUAGGAGGAUACAAGAACCCAAACCAGCGACUGCAAGAUUGUCUGCAAGACUAAAGCCUUGCAGACCAUAUGCAUCUUAGUUAAGGUCAGUGUUCACGGUUUUGCAAAUUAAGAGACAGACUGAGCAACAAUUGCGUCCAUGGGAGCGUUUCAAACUGAAAGCUGUGUUGACCAACACGAACAAAAAGGCCCAUCUCAGAUUUUUCCAAAAAAACAUCUCUAGGAUCCAUAAGGCUUUUGGAAAACCAUUCUGUGGACUGACUAGACAAAAGUAGGACUUUUGGAAGGUGUUUGUUCCAUUACGUCAUAAAACAACAUUUAAGAAAAAAAAAUCAUACCAACAAUCAAACAUGGUGGUGUGGUGAUGCGUCAGUUCCAGACCU
Long non-coding RNA from Xiphophorus hellerii (green swordtail), 1322 nucleotides. RefSeq lists it as uncharacterized. Lineage: Eukaryota; Metazoa; Chordata; Actinopteri; Cyprinodontiformes; Poeciliidae. The transcript is spliced from 2 exons. The record is from RefSeq and is a predicted model, not a curated record.